CUUUCGCCUGUGCGGCUGUGAUGGUCGCAGGGUGGACCUCGAAGCAGUCCUUGUGUCCCGAACAUUUCUCGACAUUUGUCGUGUUUGUCACGGUCCAUGAGCGGCUGCAAGUUCUCUCGGAUGCGGAACACUAUGCGGGUGUGGGGGCUCCUUGGCCUCCGAACGCCCAAAUACAGUUCUUUAAAGCGGACGACGGUCACGAAUUGUACUCUGGUGCAGUUCGUGACGUCCCAAAGGAAUGCUACCUGGUUGAUCCUGCCAGUAGUCAUAUGCU
Molecule: unclassified non-coding RNA, 274 nt
Filed under: Gironniera hirta
Lineage: Eukaryota; Viridiplantae; Streptophyta; Magnoliopsida; Rosales; Cannabaceae
Description: partial 26S-18S external transcribed spacer
Source: RNAcentral